UAUAGACAGUCAUAUCAGAAUAAUGUAGAAUUUUAAAAUAAUAUUAUAAUAUACUGUGUAUUACUUUGGAUCAGUUGGUUGCGCACAAGUCUGUUAAGGGGCAUGUUUACAAUGCUACCAGGCAGUAAUUUUCAGUUACACAAGAACAGGCUACUAUCUAUAUGAAUAGAGGUAAAUGUCAUUCAACAGUGUGUUUAACAUCACCGCUUGACUCUGAUUAAAACAACCUCAGUUUAGCUCAAUAAUGCACAAUGUGUUUUUUGGCUUAUUCUGGCUACUGCGCUUGCACAGAUCUCCACACCAAGAUGGGGUUCUCUUUGCGUGUGUUGAAAACCAACAAGCUAAUUCACUCAUUUUCUUAAAAGUCAGGUUUUUGUUAUCAUUUUUUACUAAAAAGGGACUCCCAGCCAUGGAUGGUUGUAGCAUGAACGAGGAUCUCCCACUGAUAUGCCAUGCAAAAUUCAACUGAUGACAGGGAUCUGUCAUUUUUAAAAUACAAUACAAUGCAAUUCUUAAUCAAUGUUCACUGCAAUAUAUAUGUCUCAUUCACAGAAUACCUGUCAGCUCCCAGGAUUUCAUUCACCCUUUACUAUCAUGGUUCUGGGUACCAUGCGAACAUCAGCUGCAGGUUGGUACGAGGCAGCCCGCCGGUGACGUUCCGGCUGCUGCUGGAUGGGGAGGCUGUGGCUGUGCAGAGGACUGGUUCACUGGAGGCCUGGUUCAGUGUGCCUGUCAGUGUGGGGCUGGAUAUGGGAACGGCCCAGUGUAAAGCAGAGACUGACAUCCAGCAGCUUCUUAGUGACCCAGUAGAUCUGGAAGUGGUUCCAGUAGAAGGCAGUGCACAGGUCCUGGUGGAGUUCCUCCAGACAGCAGACUCUGUGGUGGCUGCUGCCCUUCUCCAGUGUGUCAUCACCAGAGGAACUUUCCCACUUUUCUCCUGGUCCUUAAACCAAGCCAUCCUACCAGAACAGGGUGAUUCUCACGCCUUAACCCCGAACGGCCGCAUCUUAGUCAUCACAGCCUUCAGUGCUGAGAACUCGGGUUAUUACAGCUGCAGAGCGAGGGACAGCUUUAACUCCAACUCGUCUUGGCUGCAGAGUGAGGAGGUCUUGGUUAAGAUGACAGGUAAUGUGAUGUGCUGACUUUAUAAUCAGGGUUUUGAAAAUAGGUUUAAAGGGGAAAUCCUCAUUUCCAAAUGUUUAUUGUGGAAUGCUUAGUUCUAAAAAAAAACAAAACAAAAACUAAUGGGUCUUUUUUGGGAGAGUGAUGGGAAAUAAAUUUCUUCAAAUUGUAAUGAUGCUAAAUAUU
This 1308-nucleotide long non-coding RNA is filed under the name Astyanax mexicanus (Mexican tetra). RNAcentral describes it as "lncRNA (ENSAMXG00005001523.1)". The record is from RNAcentral. Lineage: Eukaryota; Metazoa; Chordata; Actinopteri; Characiformes; Acestrorhamphidae.